GAUGAACGCUGGCGGCGUGCCUAAUACAUGCAAGUCGAGCGAACGGACGAGAAGCUUGCUUCUCUGAUGUUAGCGGCGGACGGGUGAGUAACACGUGGAUAACCUACCUAUAAGACUGGGAUAACUUCGGGAAACCGUAGCUAAUACCGGAUAAUAUUUUGAACCGCAUGGUUCAAAAGUGAAAGACGGUCUUGCUGUCACUUAUAGAUGGAUCCGCGCUGCAUUAGCUAGUUGGUAAGGUAACGGCUUACCAAGGCAACGAUGCAUAGCCGACCUGAGAGGGUGGACGGCCACACUGGAACUGAGACAGGGUCCAGACUCCUACGGGAGGCAGCAGUAGGGAAUCUUCCGCAAUGGGCGAAAGCCUGACGGAGCACCGCCGCGUGAGUGAUGAAGGUCUUCGGAUCGUAAAACUCUGUUAUUAGGGAAGAACAUAUGUGUAAGUAACUGUGCACAUCUUGACGGUACCUAAUCAGAAAGCCACGGCUAACUACGUG
This 497-nucleotide ribosomal RNA is filed under the name uncultured bacterium. Its description in RNAcentral is "partial 16S ribosomal RNA". It matches the Rfam family "Bacterial small subunit ribosomal RNA", at positions 28 to 507 of the family's 1533-position model. The record is from RNAcentral.